UCCCGUUUAGCUCAGUUGGUAGAGCGCGUCACUAGUACUUGCUUACGAGCAAGUCAUGACGAGGUCAGUCGUUCGAGUCGGCUAAUGGGAA
Molecule: non-coding RNA, 91 nt
Organism: Cubamyces sp. BRFM 1775
Lineage: Eukaryota; Fungi; Basidiomycota; Agaricomycetes; Polyporales; Polyporaceae
Source: the annotation of a GenBank genome assembly